ACCUGAUUAAUUAUUGUAGCUAAUAUUUAUACAACAUUCUAGUUAUUCUGAUAGGGGGCAGUAAAAAGAAAUGAAACUGUAUUAACAGUGCUGAUUGCACACAGUUUACAAAGCCGAAGCCUGGAGAACACUUUACAAGAUGGGUAAAAUCUUCUUCUUUAUUAUAAUUCUUAUCAGUAUUAAAGCUGCACUGAUCUCUUCUCUCAACGUCCAGCAAACACCUCAACAUCUAAUCACACCAGAGACGAGGCAAGCAAAACUAAACUGCCAUCAUGGUGAUGGCAGCUAUCCCUACAUGUACUGGUAUCAACAAAAGACAGUUACAGACUUUAUUGUGCUCAUUGGAAUGAUCCGAUAUGAAACAUUCACUCCUGAGGAUAAGUUUAAAGCACGAUUCAACACUUCAGGACAUGCCACAAAGGAUGCAUUUCUUCUUAUAUCCAAUAUAGCUCAAGAGGACAGUGCAGUAUAUUUCUGUGCUGCUAGUAAGCACAGCUACACAUCCUCCCUUUCUGUUUAG
Non-coding RNA from Silurus meridionalis, 520 nucleotides. Lineage: Eukaryota; Metazoa; Chordata; Actinopteri; Siluriformes; Siluridae. The record is from the annotation of a RefSeq genome assembly.